RNAcentral lists this long non-coding RNA (1693 nucleotides) under Paramuricea clavata. The record is from RNAcentral. Lineage: Eukaryota; Metazoa; Cnidaria; Anthozoa; Malacalcyonacea; Plexauridae.
ACCAUAGAAUAAGAAAUGAAUAGAAGGGCAACUCACGUGUACAACGCGUCCUAGUUUUUUUGUGCGCAUGCGUCAGGUCCGCCAUUACUCUGGCCAGUAAACUGGCUGCUGGCGUACUAUAGAUUAUAUGGAGAAGAGUAGUGUUUGGGCUAUAAAUUUGCCUUUUUCGUUCAAGUUUUUCAAUGAGCGUGAAAGUUUUUGACAGAAGAUGAAAGAAAUAAGGUGAGGCAUUGCAAUUUAUUAGGUACAAGCAAUCUAAAGACGUUCUAUUAGCAAAUACUGACCGUUUUACUUGCUUGUUAAAAGUUGUAUAUUUGUAUAUUGAAUAAAAAUGUUUGGUAUAUUCUUGGGUAAGUUGGCACGGUACUUUUAUUUUAUCAGAUACUUAUGUUAGUUCAAAUCUUCAUAACAAUGUGCUUACAGUAAAAGCAUUGUUUCAUCCCAAUUUUCCGUAUUUAGCACAGUUGAGUAUUGUAUAGUGUCUGUUUCCAUGUCGCAUAUAUUUUCACGUUAUUUUACAUGAUCUGGAUGUAUUUUCAUGUAUAUUUAUACAAAUACACAACUAUUAUAAACACACAACUAAAAGAUUCCUUUUGUGUUUCUUUCACAAAUAACAAGUGUUGCCUUCUGUAAAAUAAGUGGUUUUUUGAAGUUUGAAAUUUUGUAUAAAACAAACUGAUAGACUAGUAUAGUAUACAAAUGUGCUGCAGGUGAAUCAGAAACAUUCCUAACUAUGCCCAUAUCAUAGAAGCAUUUCAUUUAUUGUUUUUUAUUCAACCAGGUAUUAAACAGCAUCACAAAAGUCAUAAAUUGUUGUUCUUUUAUGUUAUAAUUAUCAAGGCUAUAAUUAAAAUAUAGAGACUGAGUCACCAUACUUUUUGUUGUUAUGUACUCUGGUGAAUAUGAUGUUUGUGGUGUUACUCUGUAUAUGCAUCCACACUGGGCAAACUGAAAAAUUUGCCUGACCACGGUCAGGCAUGGUGGGAAUCUAACCCACGACCUUUGGGUUAUCACUCCAAUGCUCUACCAACUGAGCUAUGAGGUCACUUAAGUAUAUAACACUAACACACACAAAAAGUAUCAUGUCUUAGAAUACACUGAUAUCGAAGGAACCACACUCAGUUCCAAAAUAUCACCAACUCGAACUGACUUAACCUAGUAGUUCAGUUGGUUGAGCACUGGACUGGUAUCCCAUUAAGGUCACAGGUUCGAUUCCCACCAUAGUCAGGCAAACUUUUUAGUUUGUCCCGGUGUGGAUGCACACACAGAGUAACACCACAAACAUCAAGUUAUGACCAUGUUUACACUUCAUCUGGUCAUGCCUGACAAUCACUGACACAGGCAACACAUCAAUUUGCCUGAGUGUAUGGAAUGUACAAUUCCUCUGCACCGGACGGCAGUGAGUCUAGGCUCUAGGAAUUGUGUAUCGUUUUUGUGCCAAAAGAUUAGACAGCAAUAUAAGCUGUUGUGUACGCGAAUCACUGAUUUGUGCACAAAACUGGACAGCCUUUUCUUUCCAUGCUGGGCAAUUUAGGCCUCUAGCAUGACUAGGUCAAGCUGGCAAUGUGGCCCUUCUAUAACACAGUAUUAUCCAUGUCAUAAUUUUUGUUUCAUUUAGUUUAAUUUCUGCCUUCUGGAAGUACUCAAGCCUUGGCAACAAGUACUCAAGUUUUACUCUCUUGAAGAGCAAUUU